UCUGGACAAACGCUGUAUAACUUGUUUAUAUAGAGGAAAGUCCACACUCGCACUAUCCUGAGAUGGUAGUAGUGUUUGUGCUUAGGGAAAAAAUAACCUAAGGGAGUUUUACUUACGGCUAAAAUUGAUUCUAAGGGAUACUAUGAUGAUAUUUUAAUAAAGUGCCACAGAAACGAGUUUAUUUAGAAAUAAAUAAAAUGAAACGCGGUAAACCCCACAAGCGAGAAACCCAAAUUAUGGUAGGGGAACUAUUAGAGGGGAAAUGAACCUAAUAAUGGAUACUUAUAGUAUAGAUAAAUGUUUGUCACCUUUUAGGUACAGAAUGUGGCUUAUAG
This 335-nucleotide RNase P RNA is filed under the name human gut metagenome. Its description in RNAcentral is "Bacterial RNase P class B". It matches the Rfam family "Bacterial RNase P class B". Rfam says of the family: Ribonuclease P (RNase P) is a ubiquitous endoribonuclease, found in archaea, bacteria and eukarya as well as chloroplasts and mitochondria. The record is from RNAcentral.